Molecule: unclassified non-coding RNA, 432 nt
Filed under: soil metagenome
Description: partial contains 5.8S ribosomal RNA, internal transcribed spacer 2, and large subunit ribosomal RNA
Rfam family: 5.8S ribosomal RNA (bases 1-120)
Source: RNAcentral
GAUGAAGAACGUAGCGAAAUGCGAUACGUAAUGUGAAUUGCAGAAUUCAGUGAAUCAUCGAAUCUUUGAACGCAUAUUGCGCUCUCUGGUAUUCCGGAGAGCAUGCUUGUUUGAGUAUCAGUAAACACCUCAACUUCCAUAUCUUUUUUGAAAUGGGAGUUGGACUUGAGUGAUCCCAACGCUUUUCCUCACCGAAAAGUGGCGGGUUACUUGAAAUGCAGGUGCAGCUGGACUUUUCUCUGAGCUAUAAGCAUAUCUAUUUAGUCUGCCUAAAAACAGAUUAUUACCUUUGCUGCAGCUAACAUAAAGGAGAUUAGUUCUUGUGCUGACUGAUGCAGGAUUCACAAAGACAGGCUUCGGCCGACUUUGUAAACUCGAUCUCAAAUCAAGUAAGACUACCCGCUGAACUUAAGCAUAUCAAUAGGCGGAGGA